GCGGCUAUCAUAUGUAUCAAGGAGACAAAAUUGGCUGUUGUGGACAGGUUUACUAUUAUGCAAUGUAUUGGUCCAGCUUAUGAUGGCUUUGCUUAUCUCCCGGCCAAUGAGACUCGUGGAGGCAUACUGUUAGCGUGGAAAUCUAACCUUGUCCACAUCUCUAACCUUGUCAAUGACUCUCACUUCAUCACGGGCUAUGUUACCCCCCUGGUGGGAUCGCCCUGGUGGCUAUCGGUAGUGUAUGGGCCACGGGAGGACGUGGAGAAAAUUUCCUUUCUUGAUGAGUUGGUGGAAAGGCGUGCUCUUUGCCCGGGACCUUGGAUGGUCAUUGGAGAUUUCAAUCUCAUCCUUUGUGCUGCUGACAAGAGCAAUGCCAAUAUUGACCGGAGAAUGAUGGGACGAUUUAGGCGUUUUAUUGAUAACAUGGAGCUUAAAGAAUUAUUCCUACAUGGGCGCAAAUUCACUUGGAGCAAUGAGCGAGAGCUUGCCACCCUCACCAAGAUCGACCGCGCUCUCAUCUCGGUUGAUUGGGAACUGGAAUGUCCAAGCUGCGUGCUCCAAGCUCUGUCAACGAAUGUCUCUGACCAUUGCCCCCUGCACCUUGCGUUGGAGGAACACACUCUCACCCCCAGGCGCUUCAGGUUUGAAGUAUUCUGGACCAAG
RNAcentral lists this ribosomal RNA (663 nucleotides) under Triticum aestivum (bread wheat). RNAcentral's name for it is "partial small subunit ribosomal RNA". Lineage: Eukaryota; Viridiplantae; Streptophyta; Magnoliopsida; Poales; Poaceae. The record is from RNAcentral.